AAGGAAUAUUGGUCAAUGGACGCAAGUCUGAACCAGCCAUGCCGCGUGAAGGAUGAAGGUCCUCUGGAUUGUAAACUUCUUUUAUCUGGGACGAAAACGGGAUUUUUAUCUCAAUUGACGGUACCAGAGGAAUAAGCACCGGCUAACUCCGUGCCAGCAGCCGCGGUAAUACGGAGGGUGCGAGCGUUAUCCGGAUUUACUGGGUUUAAAGGGUGCGUAGGUGGGCUUAUAAGUCAGUGGUGAAAUCUCCGAGCUUAACUUGGAAACUGCCGUUGAUACUAUAGGUCUUGAAUUAUCUGGAGGUAAGCGGAAUAUGUCAUGUAGCGGUGAAAUGCUUAGAUAUGACAUAGAACACCAAUUGCGAAGGCAGCUUACUACAUAUAAAUUGACGCUGAGGCACGAAGGCGUGGGGAUCAAACA
This 420-nucleotide ribosomal RNA is filed under the name uncultured bacterium. Its description in RNAcentral is "bacterial SSU rRNA". It matches the Rfam family "Bacterial small subunit ribosomal RNA", at positions 356 to 774 of the family's 1533-position model. The record is from RNAcentral.